GCCAGACUCCUACGGGAGGCAGCAGUGGGGAAUAUUGGGCAAUGGAGGCAACUCUUACCCAGCAAUGCCGCGUGAAUGAAGAAGGUCUUCGGAUUGUAAAGUUCUUUAAUUGGGGACGAAAAAAAUGGCGGUACCCAAGGAAUAAGCCCCGGCUAACUACGUGCCAGCAGCCGCGGUAAUACGUAGGUGGCAAGCGUUAUCCGGAUUUACUGGGUGUAAAGGGCGUGUAGGCGGGACUGCAAGUCAGAUGUGAAAAUUAUGGGCUCAACCCAUAACCUGCAUUUGAAACUGUAGUUCUUGAGUGAUGGAGAGGCAGGCGGAAUUCCGUGUGUAGCGGUGAAAUGCGUAGAUAUACGGAGGAACACCAGUGGCGAAGGCGGCCUGCUGGACAUUAACUGACGCUGAGGCGCGAAAGCGUGGGGAGCAAACAGGAUUAGAUACCCCAGUAAG
RNAcentral lists this ribosomal RNA (450 nucleotides) under uncultured bacterium. RNAcentral's name for it is "bacterial SSU rRNA". It matches the Rfam family "Bacterial small subunit ribosomal RNA", at positions 330 to 793 of the family's 1533-position model. The record is from RNAcentral.